UGCCUCAGUAACGGCGAGUGAAGCGGCAACAGCUCAAAUUUGAAAUCCGGCCCCGUCGGGGCCCGAGUUGUAAUUUGCAGAGGGUGCUUCGGACGCGGCGCCGGUCUAAGUCCCUUGGAACAGGGCGUCACAGAGGGUGAGAAUCCCGUACGCGGCCGGCCGCCAACCACCGGGUGAAGCCCCUUCGACGAGUCGAGUUGUUUGGGAAUGCAGCUCCAAAUGGGUGGUAAAUUCCAUCUAAAGCUAAAUACCGGCCGGAGACCGAUAGCGCACAAGUAGAGUGAUCGAAAGAUGAAAAGCACUUUGGAAAGAGAGUUAAACAGCACGUGAAAUUGUUAAGAGCGAAGCGCUUGCCGCCAGACCUGCCCGCGGGCGUUCACCCGCCAUUCGUGGCGGGGCACUCGCCCGCGACCAGGCCAGCACGGGUUCGGGCGGCGGGAGAAAGGGCCCGGGAAUGUAGCUCCCUUCGGGGUGCCUUAGAGCCCGGGUCGCCAUGCCGCCCGCCCGGACCGAGGACCGCGCUUCGGCUAGGGUGCUGGCGUAAUGGCGGCAAGCGACCCGUCUUGAAACACGGACCAAGGAGUCUAACAUCUACGCGAGUGUUUGGGCGUCAAACCCCGGCGCGGAAUGAAAGUGAACGGAGGUGGGAUCCCCGCGAGGGGCGCACCAUCGACCGAUCCCGAUGUCUUCGGAGGGAUUUGAGUACGAGCGUAGCUGUUGGGACCCGAAAGAUGGUGAACUAUGCCUGAAUAGGGUGAAGCCAGAGGAAACUCUGGUGGAGGCUCGCAGCGGUUCUGACGUGCAAAUCGAUCGUCAAAUUUGGGCAUAGGGGCGAAAGACUAAU
Molecule: ribosomal RNA, 844 nt
Filed under: Leptogium cellulosum
Lineage: Eukaryota; Fungi; Ascomycota; Lecanoromycetes; Peltigerales; Collemataceae
Description: LSU rRNA
Rfam family: Eukaryotic large subunit ribosomal RNA
Source: RNAcentral